This is a long non-coding RNA of Portunus trituberculatus (swimming crab), 350 nucleotides long. RefSeq lists it as uncharacterized. The transcript is spliced from 3 exons. The record is from RefSeq and is a predicted model, not a curated record. Lineage: Eukaryota; Metazoa; Arthropoda; Malacostraca; Decapoda; Portunidae.
CCGCCAUUACGAGGCAUCAACGCGUUAACACUAUAGAACAAAACACGCCCUUUUCCUCCUUCUCUGGGGCAUUGUUGUGACUCCCUCUCACUGUGCAGGAAGGUGGACAGGUGUGUGUGUGUGUGGAAUUCACCUGUAGAAGUCCUGCUGUGUUGCCUCUUGGGUGACUGCUGAGGGAACAUGGUGAAGCAACAGCAAACUGGGGGCGGGGAUAGGGGAGAGUUACAAGACAGCGCUGCCUCCUCCGCUAGGAAUCUGCCACAAGCUGGAAUCGAACUAGGAACUAUACAUAGACUCUAGCAAGGAUUUCACCACAGAGCCGAGGGAAUCCAGUGAUGAAGAGAAGGCAG